This 552-nucleotide long non-coding RNA is filed under the name Brassica napus (rape). Its description in RNAcentral is "long non-coding RNA (BNAP_LNC021550)". The record is from RNAcentral. Lineage: Eukaryota; Viridiplantae; Streptophyta; Magnoliopsida; Brassicales; Brassicaceae.
GUUUUAUUGUCUUACUACUCUCUAAAACACUAAAUCAAACAAUUUAUACCGAGUUGUUCUUGGGUUCGCCCCAAAGAGUGAACCUGUAAGUUCACCAACCAAUAAUAUUUUGUUAUUUUAUAUUCAGCAGUAUCUAUUAAAAAGAAAAUAAAUAAUAAGAAUUUGCUAAGUUACAUUAUGUUUUUUAAAUAAAAAGGUAUAAAUAAAUAAAAAUAAUAGUAAUUGCAGCAAAAAACUAAACCCUAAAUCCUAAAAACUUGAACCCUAAACUCUUAAGUAAACCUUAAACUCUUCGAUAAAUCCUAAACCCUAAAUCGUAAACACUAAAUCUUAAGAACACUAAACACUCAAUUUUAAGCCCUAGAUCCUUGAAUAAAUCCUAAACCCUAAGCCAUAAAUCUUAAUCAUAAAUCCUAAACCUAAACUCAAAACCUUAUACCAAACACUUGUCCUAAACCUAACUCUUAAACUAUAUAGUUAAAACCUAAACACUAAACCCUAAAUUCAAAACAUUAAACUAAACCCUAAACACUAAACCAUAUACAAUAUAUU